RNAcentral lists this ribosomal RNA (430 nucleotides) under uncultured bacterium. Its description in RNAcentral is "bacterial SSU rRNA". It matches the Rfam family "Bacterial small subunit ribosomal RNA", at positions 355 to 776 of the family's 1533-position model. The record is from RNAcentral.
UGGGGAAUUGUUCGCAAUGGGCGCAAGCCUGACGACGCAACGCCGCGUGGAGGACGAAGAUCUUCGGGUCGUAAACUCCUGUCGAGCGGGAAGAAACCCGCGAGGGUGAACAACCCUGGCGGUUGACGGUACCGCUAAAGGAAGCCCCGGCUAACUCCGUGCCAGCAGCCGCGGUAAUACGGGGGGGGCAAGCGUUGUUCGGAAUUACUGGGCGUAAAGGGCUCGUAGGCGGCCAACUAAGUCGGACGUGAAAUCCCCAGGCUCAACCUGGGAACUGCGUCCGAUACUGGAUGGCUUGAAUCCGGGAGAGGGAUGCAGAAUUCCAGGUGUAGCGGUGAAAUGCGUAGAUAUCUGGAGGAAUACCGGUGGCGAAGGCGGCAUCCUGGACCGGCAUUGACGCUGAGGAGCGAAAGCCAGGGGAGCAAACGGG